Molecule: non-coding RNA, 81 nt
Organism: Rhodofomes roseus
Lineage: Eukaryota; Fungi; Basidiomycota; Agaricomycetes; Polyporales; Fomitopsidaceae
Source: the annotation of a RefSeq genome assembly
GGGUCGGUGGCGUAGUUGGUUAUCGCAUCUGUCUAACAUCGCGUUCACAGAAGGUCCUCAGUUCGAACCUGGGCCGACUCA